RNAcentral lists this ribosomal RNA (482 nucleotides) under uncultured bacterium. Its description in RNAcentral is "partial 16S ribosomal RNA". It matches the Rfam family "Bacterial small subunit ribosomal RNA", at positions 30 to 507 of the family's 1533-position model. The record is from RNAcentral.
AUUGAACGCUGGCGGCAUGCCUUACACAUGCAAGUCGAACGGUAACGGGCCUUCGGGUGCCGACGAGUGGCGAACGGGUGAGUAAUACAUCGGAACGUGCCCGAUCGUGGGGGAUAACGAGGCGAAAGCUUUGCUAAUACCACAUACGAUCUACGGAUGAAAGCAGGGGACCGCAAGGCCUUGCGCGGACGGAGCGGCCGAUGGCAGAUUAGGUAGUUGGUGGGAUAAAAGCUUACCAAGCCGACGAUCUGUAGCUGGUCUGAGAGGAUGAUCAGCCACACUGGGACUGAGACACGGCCCAGACUCCUACGGGAGGCAGCAGUGGGGAAUUUUGGACAAUGGGCGCAAGCCUGAUCCAGCCAUGCCGCGUGCAGGAUGAAGGCCUUCGGGUUGUAAACUGCUUUUGUACGGAACGAAAAGCCUUCUUUUAAUACAGGAGGGUCAUGACGGUACCGUAAGAAUAAGCACCGGCUAACUACGCG